GCGCCCGUAGCUCAGCUGGAUAGAGCACCGGACUUCUAAUCCGACGGCCGCAGGUUCGAAUCCUGCCGGGCGUGCCA
Molecule: transfer RNA, 77 nt
Filed under: Planctomycetota bacterium
Lineage: Bacteria; Pseudomonadati; Planctomycetota
Description: Planctomycetes bacterium (activated sludge metagenome) tRNA-Arg
Rfam family: tRNA
About the family: Transfer RNA (tRNA) molecules are approximately 80 nucleotides in length. Their secondary structure includes four short double-helical elements and three loops (D, anti-codon, and T loops).
Source: RNAcentral